GACAAAAGGAGCUAAACAUUAUUGGUAUGGUAGUAUGUUCAGUGGUGUGCAUUAUUAGCAUUGCUCAAGCUGCAGGUAGCUUCAGGGAAGUGAAGGGGAGGAAAAAGAGUAGCUGCUCCAGCACAAAACUACUAGCAUUACAUAAGCACAGAAAAAGGUAUGAUCCUCUUCAGACAUCUUCCCACGCCGAAGGUGAAUGGGGUGAAGAUCUUAGGCGGACUUCACGGUGGCGGAGUUGAUGAUGUCGAUGAAUUCAGGCUUCAAUGAAGCACCACCGACGAGAAAACCAUCAACAUCAGGCUUUGCUGCCAGCUCCUUGCAGUUCGCACCAGUUACGGAACCUCCAUAGAUGAUCCUUGUUGAUUCAGCAACCUCUGCACUGACAUUAGCAGCGAGCCACUUCCUCAGGCCAUCAUGCACUUCUUGUGCUUGAUCUGGUGUAGCAACUUUACCAGUUCCAAUGGCCCACACAGGUUCAUAGGCAACAACCACAUUAGUCCAAUCCUUGAUCCUUUCAGAAAU
Molecule: unclassified non-coding RNA, 522 nt
Filed under: Hevea brasiliensis (rubber tree)
Lineage: Eukaryota; Viridiplantae; Streptophyta; Magnoliopsida; Malpighiales; Euphorbiaceae
Source: RNAcentral